GGAGAGGUGACGGAGUGGCCGAUCGUGCGGCAUUGGAAAUGCCGUGUACCUCACGGUACCGUGGGUUCGAAUCCCACCCUCUCCG
This 85-nucleotide transfer RNA is filed under the name Puniceicoccales bacterium. RNAcentral's name for it is "tRNA-Ser". It matches the Rfam family "tRNA". Rfam says of the family: Transfer RNA (tRNA) molecules are approximately 80 nucleotides in length. Their secondary structure includes four short double-helical elements and three loops (D, anti-codon, and T loops). Lineage: Bacteria; Pseudomonadati; Verrucomicrobiota; Opitutia; Puniceicoccales. The record is from RNAcentral.